This is a long non-coding RNA of Cavia porcellus (domestic guinea pig), 2957 nucleotides long. The record is from Ensembl. Lineage: Eukaryota; Metazoa; Chordata; Mammalia; Rodentia; Caviidae.
AUGGAUUUACCUAUCAGAGCCAGAAGUUGCUCGCUCUGCCCGCCCAAGAAGGUCCGGCUUUCCCUUCUGUCCCACCUUCUUUGUGACGUCAUAGAACCAUCGCCUUGCUUAGCCCGACCCCGCCUCUUUUAUUUAAAUACGGCGCUCAACAUGGCGGUGCCUACUUGGUCCGUCGGCCGCUGUGUUUUCGAGCGCAGGCCAUGGAAAAGACUGUUUCUUCAAGAGCCGCGCUGUUUGGCUAACUACAGCUGCGUUUUAAUCCCUGAACCCCUUUCAGCGCGAAGUGCGUGUCGGUUAUCGCCUGAAAACCAGCUGACCUUUAACGACCCUCACCACCUCUGCUCCGGAAGUGCUUGCUGGUCCCAGGGGCAAGGCUGGGGGCUUGGCGACUAGCAUGCAGUCAGUAUUUGCUUUGGAACUUGGAAGUUAAGUCAAUACCAUUGUGGUCUGAGUAUAUGGUACUGUACCUGUGCCUUAAAAACAUUUCUUAUGUAAUUAACUUGCUGAUUUUUGUUUUCUUAUUUUACUUAUUUAGUCUUGAACUGCUUUAUUUGCUUAGCUAAUUAUAAUUAUUAAGCAUCUGCUAUGCUUGUUCAGAGCGUGCAUGGUUGACAGGAAUCAAGCCCUCAUCAGGGACACAGAGUCCAGUGAGCUGACAGACAUAAUGAGUAAUGAUAGAAGUAUUAUCAUGAGCUAUUGUAAAGCCGUACCUGGAUGUUUUUUGGAUGUGCGCACUGAGCUGGACAGUAGGUAACCAUUAGCUGGGAGGCACGUAAUAGUACCCACCACUUACUUACAGAGUGUUGUACCCUAAUGGUUGUAUUUUCUGGGCUAGGUUCCCUUCCACAAGAUUUUAUAUUAUAUAACAAUUCCCUCCUUAUCUCUGGUUUCUCUUCCACAGUACAGUUGCCUGAGGUCAGUGGUGCUGUGAAAACGUUGGGAACUUCUAAUAAGCAGUUCAUAUAUUUCAAAUUCCUUGUUUUGCCAAGUAGCAUGAUGAAAUCUCAUGACAUUCUGCAUUCUCCCACUCAUGUGUGAAAUCACCCUUUUGUCUGGAAUAUUUAUCCCCAAUUCCCAUCUGUAGUUAUUUGGAAUCCUCUCAGUUAUCAGAUGGACUGAUGGUUUUGCAGUUCUUGUGUUCAGGUAUUCCCUGUUUUAUUUGAUGAAUCACACCAAAGAUAAACCGUAAAAGGACAGAUAACUCUCCUUGUGUGUGGUCAUGCUCCAGGGCUGCUAGAAAAAACCAUAGUGCAGUAGUUCCUUGAUCCCUGAACUUACUUUGUUCUACAAUGUUUAAAAAGAUGGCCAAUCUGUGUUUGUGCGGGAAAGAUGGCCAUGGUUGUGUUUGUCACUCGAUAUUGUGUUUGCAAACAGAAAGAAAAUUUUGCCGAACACUUUUGUUUGCAAACCUGUUGUUGGCAAACAAAAGCAUUCGUGAAAGGAGAUGCCACUGUGUAUAUGCAGUUCAGUACUGUCCAUGGCCAUCCACUGGAAUUCUUAGAACCUGUUUCCCAUGACAGAGGAGAACUGCUAUAUUCCUGUAGGCAACUAGAAAGUACAUGUAUCAGGGAUGCUUUCCCACACCUCUCCUCCAAGCAUAAGACUUUGUGUCAGAAUUUUUGAGUCUAAAGCUUUCCUUCUAGUUGGAUUUCCAUAUUGUGAAAUUGCAUUUUUGGUCUUUACACCUUAACCUGCAUUCAUACUUCCGCUGGGCAUGCCAGCAUGGCCUGUUAGCCCCCAUAUCCUUCCUCCUACUUGUUAACUCUUUCCCUCUGUCGCUUCCUCCUGCAAUCUUGGGUACUGACCCUGGUGAACCAGACGGCUUGGAUGUUCCCCUUUAAUUUCGAAGGAAUGUGGCCACAGUGUUGGAGUACAUAGUGCUGGCCUUUCCGUGGCAUACUGAGGUAUGAACUCAUAUUCUUGUAUGCUGUGGUCCUAAGUUAAGCAUCAUCUUGGCUUGGAAUCACCAUGGAGAAAAGAACGUUUGUAGUCAUGGGGUAGAAUUCUACUUCUAAAGCUAGAGGGGGAGGGGGGUAGAGAGGGAGAGAGAAAGAGGAGACAGAGGGAGACCAAGUCCCUUGCCACCAUGAGUUGGCCGUUAGUGAGAGCUGCCACACAGAGGAGCCAUCCUGAAAAGAAUAAGACAACACAGCGGGAUUGAGAUCUGGGAGUGGGGAGGACACAAAGAACAGGCCCAGGUGUCAUGGUGGCCAUUGAGUCUGAGGAUGCAUAUAUACAUUGAGCUGCAAAGCAGACCUGGCCGAGAUUUGUUUUUUUCUGAAUUUUUUAUUGUUGUAUUAGAAUUCCUUAAUUAUAGCCCUUGCAAUGGAUGCUUUAGAUGAGAUAGAGCAGUUAAGCUUUCAAAGUUUCAUAGUUAAAACCAUGGAUUUUAAAUACACAAUAGGUUCAGAUUCUUGGUGGUGAGAAUGGGGGACAGUUACAAAAUAUAUUACAGACCCUUCAAUUUUUAAAAAUUUUCCAGUUACAGAAAAUCUGUGUUCUCUGUCCUAUGUAGUUAGUUUGAAAACACUGUACUGUUCUAAGGACUGUUUCUUGUCCACCUUGGGGACAGAAAUCAGAGUACUGCUGUCUUUUGGUUUUCUCCCAGUGGAGAUGGAAAUAAUAAUACCAAUGUCAAAUACAUAAUACUAUUGGGUGUUAGACAAAUGGACAGGCCUUUAGUGCCUUCUGCUUCAUCCAGUGUGCCAAAGUAUUCUGUCUUAACCCAGCGUACCCAAUCCAAUCAUUAUUUGUAUUCUUAUUAAAUAUAUCCUAGCUGCUAAAUAAAACAUUAUUUAAUUAAUAGAAUAUUAAUUAUUUAAUCAUCAGUUCAGAGAAAACAAAAUUAGGAAUUUGUCUCUUGGUAUCAAUGGGAGAUCGAUUCCAGAGCACCUGUGAGUGUCAAAGUCCAAUAUAGUAGGUCAGUUGACAGAGUAGAGUCUUAGUAUCUGUGUGUC